RNAcentral lists this ribosomal RNA (284 nucleotides) under Escherichia coli. RNAcentral describes it as "partial 16S ribosomal RNA". It matches the Rfam family "Bacterial small subunit ribosomal RNA", at positions 1 to 281 of the family's 1533-position model. Lineage: Bacteria; Pseudomonadati; Pseudomonadota; Gammaproteobacteria; Enterobacterales; Enterobacteriaceae. The record is from RNAcentral.
AAAUUGAAGAGUUUGAUCAUGGCUCAGAUUGAACGCUGGCGGCAGGCCUAACACAUGCAAGUCGAACGGUAACAGAAAGCAGCUUGCUGCUUUGCUGACGAGUGGCGGAUGGGUGAGUAAUGUCUGGGAAACUGCCUGAUGGAGGGGGAUAACUACUGGAAACGGUAGCUAAUACCGCAUAACGUCGCAAGACCAAAGAGGGGGACCUUCGGGCCUCUUGCCAUCGGAUGUGCCCAGAUGGGAUUAGCUUGUUGGUGGGGUAACGGCUCACCAAGGCGACGAUC